GACGAACCGAGCGAACGUUGUUCGGAAUCACUGGGCUUAAAGGGCGUGUAGGCGGGUGCUCAAGUCCGGGGUGAAAUCCCACAGCUCAACUGUGGAACUGCCUCGGAUACUGGGUGUCUCGAGGGUGGUAGGGGUAUGCGGAACUAUCGGUGGAGCGGUGAAAUGCGUUGAGAUCGGAAAGAACACCAACGGCGAAAGCACUCUGCUGGGCCGACACUGACACUGAGAGACGAAAGCUAGGGGAGCAAAUGGG
RNAcentral lists this ribosomal RNA (253 nucleotides) under uncultured bacterium. RNAcentral describes it as "partial 16S ribosomal RNA". It matches the Rfam family "Bacterial small subunit ribosomal RNA", at positions 524 to 776 of the family's 1533-position model. The record is from RNAcentral.